This 253-nucleotide ribosomal RNA is filed under the name uncultured bacterium. RNAcentral's name for it is "partial 16S ribosomal RNA". It matches the Rfam family "Bacterial small subunit ribosomal RNA", at positions 524 to 776 of the family's 1533-position model. The record is from RNAcentral.
UACGGGGGGGGCAAGCGUUGUUCGGAAUUACUGGGCGUAAAGGGCGCGUAGGCGGCUUUUCAAGUGACGGGUGAAAUCCCUCGGCUUAACCGAGGAACUGCCUGUCAGACUGGAAGGCUUGAGACCGGGAGAGGUGAGUGGAAUUCCCAGUGUAGCGGUGAAAUGCGUAGAUAUCUGGAGGAAUACCGGUGGCGAAGGCGGCAUCCUGGACCGGCAUUGACGCUGAGGAGCGAAAGCCAGGGGAGCAAACGGG